UUUUCUGUAGUCUAGUGGUUAUCACGUGCGCCUCAGACGCGCAAGGUCGCUGGUUCGAUCUCGGGCGGAAACA
Dryococelus australis is the source of this 73-nucleotide non-coding RNA. NCBI's taxonomy places the organism in Eukaryota, Metazoa, Arthropoda, Insecta, Phasmatodea, Phasmatidae. The record is from the annotation of a GenBank genome assembly.